RNAcentral lists this non-coding RNA (253 nucleotides) under uncultured bacterium. RNAcentral's name for it is "partial 16S ribosomal RNA". It matches the Rfam family "Bacterial small subunit ribosomal RNA", at positions 524 to 776 of the family's 1533-position model. RNAcentral also lists the same sequence under 1 other name. The record is from RNAcentral.
UACGUAGGGUGCAAGCGUUAAUCGGAAUUACUGGGCGUAAAGCGUGCGCAGGCGGUUUGUUAAGACAGUCGUGAAAUCCCCGGGCUUAACCUGGGAACUGCGAUUGUGACUGGCAAGCUAGAGUACGGCAGAGGGGGGUGGAAUUCCUGGUGUAGCAGUGAAAUGCGUAGAGAUCAGGAGGAACACCGAUGGCGAAGGCAGCCCCCUGGGCUAGUACUGACGCUCAUGCACGAAAGCGUGGGGAGCAAACAGG